This 253-nucleotide ribosomal RNA is filed under the name uncultured bacterium. RNAcentral's name for it is "partial 16S ribosomal RNA". It matches the Rfam family "Bacterial small subunit ribosomal RNA", at positions 524 to 776 of the family's 1533-position model. The record is from RNAcentral.
UACGGGGGGGGCAAGCGUUGUUCGGAUUUACUGGGCGUAAAGCGCGUGUAGGCGGCCUUGCAAGUCGGAUGUGAAAGCCCACGGCUCAACCGUGGAAGUGCAUCCGAAACUGCAUAGCUUGAGUCUCGGAGAGGAAGGUGGAAUGCUUGGUGUAGAGGUGAAAUUCGUAGAUAUCAAGCAGAACACCUGCGGCGAAGGCGGCCUUCUGGACGAUGACUGACGCUGAGACGCGAAAGCGUGGGGAGCAAACAGG